CCUAUGAGGCUGCUACCCAGCAGCCCCUCAUGGGACAUUAGAUGUGUCCAACAUUAAUGUAUCCAAGUCUUCUGCACAAGGAGCAGCAGCUGGAGGCCAGACAGCCUGUCCUCUGAGGCCUAAAGCAGCCCUGAUUCACAACACUUAGCUCCUAAAAUGCCAGUGGAAAGAAGGAAGAUGCACAAAGAUAUCACAGGAGGACAAACCCUUGGGUGAUGCAAUCAGAAGGCUCCUGAAGCCAGGACAG
Long non-coding RNA from Passer domesticus (house sparrow), 247 nucleotides. RefSeq lists it as uncharacterized. The record is from RefSeq and is a predicted model, not a curated record. NCBI's taxonomy places the organism in Eukaryota, Metazoa, Chordata, Aves, Passeriformes, Passeridae. The transcript has 3 exons.